GAUUUGUUAGGCUAUGGACGGUUCAAACCUGUUGCGAGACAAGUGAAAAUUAAAAACAAACCAAUUGAACCGCAUAGGUGUGUUCUGGAAUAUGACAGCAGUCGGUUUUCCGUUGAUACAUAUCUAUUACGUUAUUGAUAAUAUCUUCUGGACAACUAUUCGUCGAAGACCAAUCAAAGACGUUUGGCAAGUGUAUUGUUGAGUGCUACGUCAACUUAUGCUUUACCAUCAGAAUCAAAGAAACAACACGUACAAAUGUUGCCACCACCAGGCAAUAACAUGGGUUUCGACAUUGUACCAGCGUCCCCGUCUCCAUCAGAAUCUUCCGACGAAAGUCCAGUUCGAAGACCAAUACCUCCAGUUGCCUUGAGACCAGUUGCAAAUGAAGCACUUGAAUAUGCCACCCUUGACGAGGUUGAUCAUUUCUGUUAUUUCUUGGGACACCGUUUGAGGGCCUUGAAUACACGAACAUGUUUCCAGCUACAGAUCAAAAUGCUCCAACUUAUCUAUGAUUCCGAAUUCCAUGAACUCUAAGAUCGGAUUCAUCUUUGCAUUGUCACUGACAAUUCUCAAACAUAGUCAGCUGAUCACUUCUGCAGAUCUGAUGUAGGUCUCAAGCUGUAGUAAUGUUCCAAAUGAGCCAGAAGUACCUGUGUUACCGUUAAAGUUAGAUUAAUCGUUCAACAUUUUAUUUGUAUGGCAGAGUUCGUAAAUUGAAUUCGACUGCAUGUGUUUUAUACCUCACCUCAUAAUCUUUAUUCCUGCAUUGGUUCAUUCGUACCAGUCAAAUAUUCAUUUAAUCCAGUGUGCAACUCUUAAUAUAUUACAUACUUUCUUAGCUUAACCUGGAGAGGGUGUUAGCAUUCCUCUAACAAAGUUUUCAACAACUUUAUGUAACAUCAGCUGCUUAUUAGUCCUGUGUAGCGAUGCAAAAAUUUCAUACAUACAAAACAGCAUACAGUAUUUUUUAAGCAAAUGUAACUUUUUUUAUGUAUACACACACAGCAUCUACACCUCCACUAUGACUGAUUCCACUGAUAUUCCUUCAUUCCUUGCUUUCGUAAUUUGUAUUCUUUGCAGACUUAUGAUGUGGUGACUAAUGGUAAAGAGUGCAACAUCGUCAUAAACAUGUAUAAAAUAAGUAUAGAUGUGGAUAUAAGUUUUUAAAUAUGUAUUCUACUCAGGUACUAAUGUUAAUUAGACUAUAGGCAUGUAAAUACAAUGCGUUAAAGCUUACCAGAAAAUAAAUA
Neodiprion virginianus is the source of this 1250-nucleotide long non-coding RNA. RefSeq lists it as uncharacterized. The record is from RefSeq and is a predicted model, not a curated record. The transcript is spliced from 3 exons. NCBI's taxonomy places the organism in Eukaryota, Metazoa, Arthropoda, Insecta, Hymenoptera, Diprionidae.